CUCCUCCCUCCCUCUCCCCUUUUAAAAAGGAAUUCGGACGAUUAAAACGUUGGGGAGAAACAGUUUAAAGACCUAGGGCAGGAAAUGCAGAUUCAUUUGGGUUAGGACUGAAAUUGUAACAAAAAGCAAUUCCUCGAGUAAAUGCAUCAGAUAAAUCAAUUUACAUAAAGGUAUGAUGCAUUCGGAUAAAUGCAAUGCUAAUGGGUUUUAGAGUGGUCCUGUUUCCAAAGUCUCAGGGUUUUGUUACAGCUUAAUUGGUGCAGUUCUUAUUCUGGUUUAUUGUGCGGUCACUGGACACACGUUCCGGGACUCUUUCGGAGGAAAUGUGUUUAAAAUCAGCCUAUUUAAGGAACUCGAGUCCUUGUUUGGUUCCCUCUCUCUCGUUCUUUUGCAGCAGCCAAGUUGGGCCGGGGACAGGCAAAGUUCGCCCUCUCCCUUCUGAGGUAUCAGCUGAAUGUCUUGAGCAGAUAGCUGGGAGCCUUGGGGGGAGCCCACACUCUUGGCUUACAGAGGACAAAGACAAAACAGGCUGCUUAAUUGGCAGUAAAUAACUUGAUCUUUUUAUAGAAUAAGUGACUGAAGGAACACUAGGACUUUAUUGGACUCAGGAUUGGAGGCAACAAAUUAAUCGGUUUAGGCUAAGCUUUAUAAAUUGAUUCCUAUAUUAUACCCCAGUUGCUUCUCUUAUGGCAUUCAUUAGAAAGAGUGGGGAAUGUUUAAAAGCAGUUUUUGGUGACAGCAGGACUUGGCUCUGAAUAUAACUUGUUCAUCACUUAAUAGUGCCUUCUAGAAUAUUACCUACCCCCCCUCCUUUGGAGUAGCAAAGCUUUAGCAUUUAAAUUGCUGAUCAAGGGCAGAUUAGUGAGACCAAAGUGGAGAGUGUUUGUGUAGGAAGUUAACAGGCAUCCUAAAGUUCAAUGAUCUAUUAUUCUUGCCUGUGUCCUGAAAACCCAGAGAAAAC
This 961-nucleotide long non-coding RNA is filed under the name Marmota monax (woodchuck). The record is from RNAcentral. Lineage: Eukaryota; Metazoa; Chordata; Mammalia; Rodentia; Sciuridae.